Molecule: ribosomal RNA, 815 nt
Filed under: uncultured marine bacterium
Lineage: Bacteria
Description: bacterial SSU rRNA
Rfam family: Bacterial small subunit ribosomal RNA
Source: RNAcentral
AGUCGAACGAAGUAGCAAUACUUAGUGGCAGACGGGUGAGUAACAUGUGGGUAUCUUCCCUUUGGUGAGGAAUAACACGAGGAAACUUGUGCUAAUACCUCAUAAGUCUUUACGGAGAAAGCUUUAUGCGCCAAUGGAUGAGCCCGCACUUGAUUAGUUUGUUGGUGGGGUAAUGGCCUACCAAGACUUUGAUCAAUAGCUGAUUUGAGAGGAUGAUCAGCCACAUUGGGACUGAGACACGGCCCAAACUCCUACGGGAGGCAGCAGUAGGGAAUCUUGCACAAUGGAGGAAACUCUGAUGCAGCGAUGCCGCGUGAGUGAAGAAGGCCCUUGGGUUGUAAAGCUCUUUCGUCGGGGAAGAAAAUGACUGUACCCGAAUAAGAAGGUCCGGCUAACUUCGUGCCAGCAGCCGCGGUAAUACGAAGGGACCUAGCGUAGUUCGGAAUUACUGGGCUUAAAGAGUUCGUAGGUGGUUAAAAAAGUUGGUGGUGAAAUCCCAGAGCUUAACUCUGGAACUGCCAUCAAAACUUUUUAGCUAGAGUAUGAUAGAGGAAAGCAGAAUUUCUAGUGUAGAGGUGAAAUUCGUAGAUAUUAGAAAGAAUACCAAUUGCGAAGGCAGCUUUCUGGAUCAUUACUGACACUGAGGAACGAAAGCAUGGGUAGCGAAGAGGAUUAGAUACCCUCGUAGUCCAUGCUGUAAACGAUGUGUGUUAGACGUUGGAAAUUUAUUUUCAGUGUCGCAGCCGAAAGCAUAAACACACCGCCUGGGGAGUACGACCGCAGGUUAAACUCCAAAUGAAUUGACGGGGACCCGC